GUAGUGGUGGUGGUGGGGUGUGGCCACUGUAGGGCAACCUUCUCCAUAUUUGGCAGUGGUCACCUCCCUGGGAUAAUAAACUAUUAUGGACUCCGGUGUGCACCUCCACCCAUGUACCCACACCUCUCGAACACACGCACGGAACUCCUAUAUAUAGAACCUUAAUGUAACUACUCAUCCACACGGGAGACAUCUCCCGUCACGCAGGGUGCAGUCGCACCUCCACAGAUCUCCAGUAUCAGCUCUUGAUACUGGUAAUGGCUCCAAAGGGCCACCACUUACGGGCUAUUCAUGCCCGUGCCACCUUUUGGAUGGGUUAAUCUUCAUCAAUCAAUCAACUACUCAUCCUUAAUUUCAUGUUAAUGAGGAGAAUGCGCGCCUUUUCUUUAUCAAUUAAAAGUUUAAGAAUGUCAACUGUACGAUAACACCUUACGAAUGACGUAAUCAUCUCGCUGUCAGUUAAUGACAUGACGAGGAGUGACGUAACCACUUACGUCACUCGUACAGACAAAGAGAAGUGGACAAGUGAGGCAAUAACCCCGCUGCCAGACACUUCCUGUCCUCGUCGAGGCCACUAGAGAGAGAUAACAGCCCUCAGGUAGACUCUGGUAAAGUAAGGUAAUCGCCUUGCUGCCAGACGAAGGUCACACGAAGACAAAUGCCGUAAUCUCCUUAAUGUCAGACGAAGAAGCCAAGUGACGUAAAUCACCUCGCUGCCAGACGAAGAAGCCAAGUAACAUAAUCGCCUCGCUGCCAGACGAAGAAGCCAAGUAACAUAAUCGCCUCGCUGCCAGACGAAGAAGCCAAGUAACAUAAUCGCCUCGCUGCCAGACGAAGACGCCAAGUGACGUAAAUCGCCUCGCUGCCAGACGAAGAAGCCAAGUGACGUAAAUCACCUCGCUGCCAGACGAAGAAGCCAAGUAACAUAAUCGCCUCGCUGCCAGACGAAGAAGCCAAGUGACGUAAAUCGCCUCGCUGUCAGACGAAGAAGCCAAGUGACGUAAAUCCCCUCGUUGCCAGACGAAGAAGCCAAGUAACAUAAUCACCUCGCUGUCAGACGAAGAGAAGAGGCAGCAACUACAGGGACGUGAGGUGUAACUUGUUUAGUCUUUGCUGGUGACUCGUAUCACUGAGGUGUUGGGCUGGUCCGGUGGCUGAACCUUCUCCAGCUCCCUCUUGUCUGUACCGAGAUAAGGGCUCCACUCUGGUCCAUAUUCCAGUUAUUCUCACAUUAACCAUCCUUAACAAGUUGGAGAAUCAAGCAGGAGUGACUGGAAAAAUGCUUCAAUGGAUAGAAGAGUGCCUACAAAGCCAAAGAAUAACAGCAAGACAGGAAAUUAUUUGAGUAGCAAGACAUUGCCAAUGGUGUCCCACAGGGAUCAGUGCUUGGCCUUAUCUUAUUCCUAACGUAUGCAAAUAAUCAUCUGAAAUGGAUACACUUCUUUCCCUCUGUUUGAUAAUGGAAAAGUUAUGAAGAGGAAACAUAUGAUGGAAGACAAAGAAACUACAAGAUGAUCUAGACAAACUAAAG
Non-coding RNA from Procambarus clarkii (red swamp crayfish), 1531 nucleotides. Lineage: Eukaryota; Metazoa; Arthropoda; Malacostraca; Decapoda; Cambaridae. The record is from RefSeq and is a predicted model, not a curated record.